CCUACGGGGGGCUGCAGUGGGGAAUAUUGCACAAUGGGCGCAAGCCUGAUGCAGCCAUGCCGCGUGUGUGAAGAAGGCCUUCGGAUUGUAAAGCACUUUCAGCGGGGAGGAAGGCGGUGGGGUUAAUAACCUCAUCGAUUGACGUUACCCGCAGAAGAAGCACCGGCUAACUCCGUGCCAGCAGCCGCGGUAAUACGGAGGGUGCAAGCGUUAAUCGGAAUUACUGGGCGUAAAGCGCACGCAGGCGGUCUGUCAAGUCGGAUGUGAAAUCCCCGGGCUCAACCUGGGAACUGCAUUCGAAACUGGCAGGCUAGAGUCUUGUAGAGGGGGGUAGAAUUCCAGGUGUAGCGGUGAAAUGCGUAGAGAUCUGGAGGAAUACCGGUGGCGAAGGCGGCCCCCUGGACAAAGACUGACGCUCAGGUGCGAAAGCGUGGGGAGCAAACAGGAUUAGAUACCCGGGUAGUC
This 465-nucleotide ribosomal RNA is filed under the name uncultured Klebsiella sp. Its description in RNAcentral is "bacterial SSU rRNA". It matches the Rfam family "Bacterial small subunit ribosomal RNA", at positions 338 to 795 of the family's 1533-position model. The record is from RNAcentral. Lineage: Bacteria; Pseudomonadati; Pseudomonadota; Gammaproteobacteria; Enterobacterales; Enterobacteriaceae.